This 96-nucleotide signal recognition particle RNA is filed under the name Streptobacillus moniliformis DSM 12112. Its description in RNAcentral is "SRP RNA; RNA component of signal recognitionparti cle". It matches the Rfam family "Bacterial small signal recognition particle RNA". From Rfam's summary of the family: The signal recognition particle (SRP) is a universally conserved ribonucleoprotein involved in the co-translational targeting of proteins to membranes. Lineage: Bacteria; Fusobacteriati; Fusobacteriota; Fusobacteriia; Fusobacteriales; Leptotrichiaceae. The record is from RNAcentral.
AAGUAGUCCUAUAUUGUAGAAAUUCAGCGAAACAUGUCAGGCUGGGAACGGAGCAGCAUUAAGUUGAGAUUUCUAGGUUUAUGGGGUAGCUAUUUU